RNAcentral lists this ribosomal RNA (398 nucleotides) under uncultured bacterium. RNAcentral's name for it is "bacterial SSU rRNA". It matches the Rfam family "Bacterial small subunit ribosomal RNA", at positions 361 to 776 of the family's 1533-position model. The record is from RNAcentral.
AUAUUGCACAAUGGGGGAAACCCUGAUGCAGCAACGCCGCGUGAGUGAUGAAGGUCUUCGGAUCGUAAAGCUCUGUCUUCAGGGACGAUAAUGACGGUACCUGAGGAGGAAGCCACGGCUAACUACGUGCCAGCAGCCGCGGUAAUACGUAGGUGGCGAGCGUUGUCCGGAUUUACGGGGCGUAAAGGGAGCGUAGGCGGAUUUUUAAGUGAGAUGUGAAAUACCCGGGCUCAACUUGGGUGCUGCAUUUCAAACUGGAAGUCUAGAGUGCAGGAGAGGAGAGUGGAAUUCCUAGUGUAGCGGUGAAAUGCGUAGAGAUUAGGAAGAACACCAGUGGCGAAGGCGACUCUCUGGACUGUAACUGACGCUGAGGCUCGAAAGCGUGGGGAGCAAACAGG